Molecule: ribosomal RNA, 466 nt
Filed under: uncultured bacterium
Lineage: Bacteria
Description: partial 16S ribosomal RNA
Rfam family: Bacterial small subunit ribosomal RNA
Source: RNAcentral
GACGAACGCUGGCGGCGCGCCUAACACAUGCAAGUCGAACGAGCGAGCGAGAGCUUGCUUUCUUGAGCGAGUGGCGAACGGGUGAGUAACGCGUGGGGAACCUGCCUCAAAGAGGGGGACAACAGUUGGAAACGACUGCUAAUACCGCAUAAGCCCACGGUGCCGCAUGGCACCGAGGGAAAAGGAGCAAUCCGCUUUUAGAUGGCCUCGCGUCCGAUUAGCUAGUUGGUGAGGUAACGGCCCACCAAGGCGACGAACGGUAGCCGGACAGAGAGGUUGAACGGCCACAUUGGGACUGAGACACGGCCCAGACUCCUACGGGAGGCAGCAGUGGGGAAUAUUGCAAAAUGGGGGAAACCAUGAUGCAGCGACGCCGCGUGGAGGAAGAAGGUCUGCGGAUUGUAAACUCCUGUUGUUGGGGAAGAUAAUGACGGUACCCAACAAGGAAGUGACGGCUAACUACGUG